UCGAUGUGGAACAGUGCCCACGUUCUUCCGUGUUGAUACAAUAAACUAUGAUGUCGACAAAAGUAGUGCAACAUCAGUAUCAGAGAGAUUUAAUUAUACUAACUUUAAGAAUUAUGAAGAUAACAUUGCAACAAAUGAGAUUGAAAUUAUAAAGAAAUAAAAAAAAAAAGGAGGGUGGAAUCUGGAGAUGUGUAUGAUUGUGCAGCAAUCCAUGGUGAGGUUGAGUGGCCUUACUUUGUUCUUAUCCAUAUAUGCCAAUAAUAAUCUUAGUCAUGGCUUACAUUACCCAAACCUUUGUCCUUAUCCCUUUUAUCUCUAUAUCUUCCAUGCCUCCUUAUCUUAAUACCAUUCACCCCCUCUUCCAUAUUUCACUCUCAAUCUUCUCAUAACCUUCUUCCAGCAAUUAAUUUAUGUAUGCAUGACCCAAACCAUC
RNAcentral lists this long non-coding RNA (433 nucleotides) under Vigna radiata. Its description in RNAcentral is "long non-coding RNA (VRAD_LNC007099)". Lineage: Eukaryota; Viridiplantae; Streptophyta; Magnoliopsida; Fabales; Fabaceae. The record is from RNAcentral.